RNAcentral lists this ribosomal RNA (468 nucleotides) under uncultured bacterium. Its description in RNAcentral is "partial 16S ribosomal RNA". It matches the Rfam family "Bacterial small subunit ribosomal RNA", at positions 28 to 507 of the family's 1533-position model. The record is from RNAcentral.
GACGAACGCUGGCGGCGUGCUUAACACAUGCAAGUCGAACGGAAAGGCCCUGCUUUUGUGGGGUGCUCGAGUGGCGAACGGGUGAGUAACACGUGAGUAACCUGCCCUUGACUUUGGGAUAACUUCAGGAAACUGGGGCCAAUACCGGAUAGGAGCUCCUGCUGCAUGGUGGGGGUUGGAAAGUUUCGGCGGUUGGGGAUGGACUCGCGGCUUAUCAGCUUGUUGGUGGGGUAGUGGCUUACCAAGGCUUUGACGGGUAGGCGGCCUGAGAGGGUGACCGGCCACAUUGGGACUGAGAGACGGCGCAGACUCCUAUGGGAGGCAGCAGGGGGGAAUAUUGCACAAUGGGCGGAAGCCUGAUGCAGCAACGCCGCGUGCGGGAUGACGGCCUUCGGGUUGUAAACCGCUUUCGCCUGAGACGAAGCGUGAGUGACGGUAAUGGGUAAAGAAGCACCGGCUAACUACGUG